Zea mays is the source of this 1523-nucleotide long non-coding RNA. RefSeq lists it as uncharacterized. The transcript has 2 exons. The record is from RefSeq and is a predicted model, not a curated record. NCBI's taxonomy places the organism in Eukaryota, Viridiplantae, Streptophyta, Magnoliopsida, Poales, Poaceae.
UUGCAAAUCAAUGCAAGAAAAACAUCAAGUUUGUAGUGCUCAUUUAUGACCCCAGUGAAAAGUUGAGGUUCUUUAUUUUCCCAAUAGACUGCAUUUGUGGCGUGAACACAGAUGUUAGUUGGGGAAGAAAAAAAGGGGAUGAAAGUUUUGUUGAAGACACUCAAUUAGGUGCUGGGCCCUGCAAUUCAUAAGGAUGAAACUGAACCAUCUGGAGGUAGAACCUGUUAGAAUCUAUACUGUCUAGGAUCGAUUCCUAAGUCCUUAGAAAACAAAUCCGUAACUGGAAGUAAAAUUUUGAUAACGAGUAGAUCUGAUCUAUUGAGAGGAAUUGGGAAAACACACCUUAUUGUUGCUGUUGUUAUCUUCAUAUCGUCGCCCUGCAGAGAAGCAGCAGGCAUCGAGAUCCGAGCCGUUGUAGGUUGUCGCGUUUCCAGACACUCCGACGCCUAGGCGAUGGGGCCUCUGGGGACUAGGGUUUUGGGGCGAGGUACUAGCGUUAGUUUUUCCUGCGACCCCUUAGUCCUAUAUUUAUAGCGUCGUGUGCCUAGGGUCUCCAGCCGAGGUUAGUGUGUGGCCCUCCCAAUCAAGGGCCCAUUUAAAGAGAUAGAUAGUUGGGUUUAGCCCAAUCCGGUCACUGAUGACCAGCUGUAGAGGACACACCCAACAGAACCAACUGGAAGACCUUGCUAUUCUUGAUCUCCCAGUCUGUGCAAAUAGGAAACAGAUAGAACCAACUGGAGAUAUUCAGUAUCAUGCUUCCAUGGAAUAGAAGUAACUGUAUCACCACCCAGGUAUCAAUCUGUGACGGUGGGCAGACAAACAUGUCCCGUCUCCUUCAGUUCCAUGUGUGUCCAAACUACACUAUCCUAAGCUUCUGAUGAAAAACAUAUUGUGAACAGCACAUAGUUGGUCAGCCGUCUAAUUCCUGCUCUUGUCUUUGAAAGUCUCUUCGUUGCACCAUCUCUGGUGGUGUCCGUUUGCCGCAGUGCAGCCAUGAUAGAGCUGGAAUAGCUGACUGGAUUGGAUGCCUCCAAAACCCGGUCCCUUGCCAAAAGAAGAAGAGGAGGAAGAAGAAGAACUGGCAGCACUGAAUUUCAUCAUAUGUAAGAUCUCCAGGCUGGUUACAGUGGAUGGACAGAAUGUUUUGGACACAUACAAGGGCAGGAAAAUGAUGGCUUGAAGUUUUUGGUUUGACUUUCACUCAGCCUCGUUCGAGUUUCACCCGCCACAUGUAUAGUGCCUGUACAUCACUUGAGACCAUGGCAGACAACUGCAGCCAGAGUCAAAUGCUUGACGCAGUGACAUCCAGAGCAGCUUUGGCUUGCAUGGCUGCUGGCUGCACGAAGGUGUUCGGUGGUGACUUGUUGAGGUCAUCAAGGAGACGAGAUUCUGCAUCGUUGAAGACAGUGAUCGGAUUUUUAUUUCUAUUUUUGACAAAUACUCUUGAGACUUUGCUAACAUCCAGUUAUCUUGUUACUGCCUCUGCUUUCAAAUAUAUUGUUAAAAAAUCAUUUACGCUGUUA